This 410-nucleotide ribosomal RNA is filed under the name uncultured microorganism. RNAcentral describes it as "bacterial SSU rRNA". It matches the Rfam family "Bacterial small subunit ribosomal RNA", at positions 509 to 917 of the family's 1533-position model. The record is from RNAcentral.
CAGCCGCCGCGGUAAUUCGUAGGUGGCAAGCGUUGUCCGGAAUUAUUGGGCGUAAAGCGCGCGCAGGCGGUCCUUUAAGUCUGAUGUGAAAUCUUGCGGCUCAACCGCAAGCGGCCAUUGGAAACUGGGGGACUUGAGUGCAGGAGAGGGAAGUGGAAUUCCACGUGUAGCGGUGAAAUGCGUAGAGAUGUGGAGGAACACCAGUGGCGAAGGCGGCUUCCUGGCCUGUAACUGACGCUGAGGCGCGAAAGCGUGGGGAGCAAACAGGAUUAGAUACCCUGGUAGUCCACGCCGUAAACGAUGAGUGCUAAGUGUUAGGGGGUUUCCGCCCCUUAGUGCUGCAGCUAACGCAUUAAGCACUCCGCCUGGGGAGUACGGCCGCAAGGCUGAAACUUAAAGGAAUUGGCGGG